UGGGACCCACUUCAUUGGAAGGAGAGGGUGUCUCGGGUCGGCCACUCGAGUCUCAGUCGCUACCAUCGUCCAUGGAUGCUCCGCUGGGGCUCGGAUUCUCGCCGUUUUCUUCGACGGCUCCGCCCCGUUCGCGGCUGAGGAAAUCGCUGAGCAGGAGGCGGCGGAAGCUCUGCGCGACGCUCGCAUCCGUCGGUGAGCCCCCUCUCGAAUCGAGAAAUCCCUUUCCAGGGAAGCCAGAGGCAGAUAUAGUUGUUAUUGGAAGUGGUAUAGGCGGAUUAUGUUGUUCUGGACUUUCAGCUAGAUAUCAGCAAGAUGUUCUGGUUUUAGAAAGUCAUGAUCUUCCUGGAGGUGCUGCUCAUUCUUUUGACGUAAAAGGUUACAAAUUUGAUUCAGGACCAUCUCUGUUCUCUGGAUUUCAGUCGAGAGGACUUCAAGCUAAUCCUAUUGCACAGGUUCUUGAUGCACUGGGAGAAUCAAUUCCAUGUGCGAGUUACAAUUCAUGGAUGGUCUACAUUCCAGAAGGUGAAUUCCUGUCACGUAUUGGGCCUACAGAGUUUCUUAAGGACCUAGAGACAUAUGUAAGUCUUGAUGCUGUUCAUGAGUGGAAAAAGCUUCUUGAUGCAGUUCUCCCAUUAUCUUCAGCUGCAAUGGCUCUCCCCCCUCUUUCUAUACGAGGUGACUGGGGUGCUUUCUCAACUGCAGCAGCAAGAUAUGCUCCAUCACUCUUGAAGUCAUUCAUCCAGAUGGGGCCCCAAGGAGCUUUUGGUGCUAUGAAACUUUUGAGACCCUUCUCAGAGAUACUUGAUUCUCUUGAGCUAAAACAUCCCUUUAUCCGUAAUUGGGUGGAUCUGUUAUGUUUUCUACUUGCGGGAGUUAAAUCUGAUGGCAUAAUUUCAGCAGAAAUUGUGUAUAUGUUUGCUGAAUGGUAUAAACCAGGAUGUGUCCUUGAAUAUCCAUUGGAUGGAAGUGGAGCAGUAGUUGAUGCUCUUGUUCGAGGAUUGAAAAAGUUUGGGGGAAGGCUUGCACUGGGUGCUCAUGUCGACAAAAUUGUCAUUGAAAAUGGUCGAGCUACUGGUGUCAAAUUAAGAAGUGGGCAGUUUAUUCGUGCCAAAAAGGCUGUUGUAAGCAAUGCAUCUAUGUGGGACACCCUCAAUUUGCUUCCAGUAGAAUCUGUCCCCAAAACUUAUAGAGAUCAGGUUCAAGCAACCCCUCAGUGUGAAUCAUUUAUGCACCUUCAUUUGGGUUUUGAUGCACAGAAUUUACCAGAAAACUUGGGGAUCCAUCACAUAGUUGUUGAUGACUGGAGCAGGGGUGUAGAUGCUGAUCAGAAUGUUGUAUUAAUUUCGAUUCCAAGUGUACAUGGUAAGGGAUUAGCACCUCCUGGAAAGCACGUCUUGCAUGCUUAUACUCCAGGAACAGAACCCUUUGGAUUGUGGGAAGGGCUUGAUCGUAGAAGCAUAGUAUACCGAAAACUAAAAGAAGAAAGAUCAGAGGUGAUGUGGAGAGCAGUUGAGCGUGUCCUUGGCCCUGGAUUUAGCCGUGAGAAAUGUGACGUGAAAUUAGUUGGAACACCAUUGACUCAUCGAAGGUUUCUCAGGAGGAACCGAGGAACAUAUGGGCCAGCCAUAAAGGCAGGAAAAGGGACUUUCCCUGGCCAUUCGACACCAAUUCUGCAGCUAUUUUGUUGCGGCGAUUCAACUUUCCCAGGCAUUGGUGUUCCAGCAGUGGCAGCUAGUGGUGCCAUUGUCGCCAACACUUUGGUGUCCGUCAAGCAGCACUCUGAGCUUCUCGAUGCCAUUGGCAUUUGACUGCUCUUCCACCAAGUUUGAAGGGCAGUAGAAAUGACAUGCAUUCAAGCUAGAGAUCGCGAUGGAAGUGCUUCAAACCGAGAAAGAACAGCUACCUCACAACGACGUAUAUUCAAUUGAUGAUUGGAUUUGCCGUCCAAUUGAGAAUAGAACAAGAAAAAGUAAGGAAGCAUUUGUUAGGUUCUUGGGCCUUUGAUAGUUUUCACAUGAGUUAGAACCACAAGAAAGAACAGAACUUGUGAUUUACGCACAAAAAUCAAGAGGAAUGGAGUUCCUACCACUCUAAAGAAAACGAACAAGAAGGUGGCUUGAGUGAGGAAAGCCUCAGCUUAGACAUGCACAUGCACUACCUUCCUUAUCUCUUCUGCCACCUUCACUAUCCUCUUCAGUCUCCAGCUGUUCUCCCUCACUAACUACUUGCUGUCCCAGCUUGUUCCACCGCCGCAACUCCGGUGGUGAAGGAGAACGACAGGCCUUGAGGGGCACUUGUUUUCCUGAUCAAUGCAAACCUGCAUUUGGUGGUGGAUGUUGUUGGGAAGGAAUUAGUGUUUGUGCGGUUGUAGAAGGGGAAGUGAGAAUUAUGAGGAAGUUGUUAAGGGAAGGUUUUGAUUUUUUUGCAAAAAUAGAAAGAAUUGUGUCUUGUGUGCCCGAGAGGCCGAGAGAGGAGAGGCAUUAAGAACCUUACAAUUUUGCGUUUUCAUUGCAGAGGAAGCUAAUUGAAGUGGACCUCAAAAAUUAAUCUUUAUUAUCA
RNA transcript from Zingiber officinale, 2559 nucleotides. It is a transcript of the gene named prolycopene isomerase 1, chloroplastic-like, with no coding region annotated. The record is from RefSeq and is a predicted model, not a curated record. NCBI's taxonomy places the organism in Eukaryota, Viridiplantae, Streptophyta, Magnoliopsida, Zingiberales, Zingiberaceae. The transcript is spliced from 11 exons.